AUUGAACGCUGGCGGAAUGCUUUACACAUGCAAGUCGAACGGCAGCACGGGGCAACCUGGUGGCGAGUGGCGAACGGUGAGUAAUACAUCGGAACGUGCCCAAUCGUGGGGGAUAACGUAGCGAAAGUUACGCUAAUACCGCAUACGAUCUACGGAUGAAAGCGGGGGAUCGCAAGACCUCGCGCGAGUGGAGCGGCCGAUGUCAGAUUAGGUAGUUGGUGGGGUAAAGGCUCACCAAGCCAACGAUCUGUAGCUGGUCUGAGAGGACGACCAGCCACACUGGAACUGAGACACGGUCCGGACUCCUACGGGAGGCAGCAGUGGGGAAUUUUGGACAAUGGGCGCAAGCCUGAUCCAGCCAUUCCGCGUGCCAGGAUGAAGGCC
Molecule: ribosomal RNA, 384 nt
Filed under: uncultured bacterium
Lineage: Bacteria
Description: bacterial SSU rRNA
Rfam family: Bacterial small subunit ribosomal RNA
Source: RNAcentral